CCCUCUACCUACACAUCCCAUCCUUUUUGCAACGUGGUGUGACAAGUAUCGAAACAAAUAUUGGGUCUACCCUGAGAGACCAAAAAAAAUUAUAUAUAUAUAUAUAUAUAUAUCAGCAUCUUGGCUUGACGACUUUGCUCGUAAAAGGAAAUUUCCUGCAUCCUAAAUCAGGUUGGCUUAGCUACUCUUUCACCCAGGGGUGCCUUUAGGUGAUGACCAACUUGUAAACCCGCUGUCAUGAUUUUGUGGGACCCCUCACCAUGCGUUUGGACACAAAUAGGGUAACAUAUGUCAACCUUGAAGCCUCCAAAUUUGAAAGCACAUUGAAUGAGUUUCUAGUCAGGAUAUUUCCAUUUAUAGAAGUUGGAUUUGAUAGCAUUUGCAUGCAGCACGUGGCCAUAAUGUGUUGACGUAGGAAGGGAUGCUGCUGUCGUCUGAGCUUCAUUAAAGCCACUUGUGUUUUUAAUGAACCACAUCCUCGACUCGGGUUGUCUCCAUUCAUUAAGACCUUCUUUCAUCAGGAGCGCACACACACGCAGGCACUUUUGUGUAUUUGUACUUGAAAUCCUAUUGACAUGUUUUGCUCACAGAUUUAAUGGCCUUUGGAAAAAUGUGCAUUUGAGCCCUGUGAUCUACGCGACUGACCAAGCAGCACAUGCAAUGAAUAGCAAGUCAUAAUCUCCGACUGACGCCGCCUGAGACAAGAACAAGUUAGUGAUUUAAUUUCCCUCUGGUGGCAUUCUAAAAAUGCAGAAACAACCAUUCCUUGUUAUCAUAAGAGUACCAACACAAAUUUAAUUCUCUAGCCCGGCCCGCGUGAGGGAUGAGAUUAAUUGUUGGCAUGCAUGUCAAAAUGGAAACCCUUGUGGGAAUGUUAGUUUAUGGCUACAAUAAUUAUUUUUGCGUGCGUGUAUCACCUCACCCAAAAGUGUGCGUGGCAGUUGACCACCAUGGUGCGCUCGAUCAGUUCAUCGGGGCAUUCCAGGAGGUGGUGGCCCGACACUACACCGGCGUUGUUGAUGAGUAUGUCCACCUCGCCCACCUCUCGACGCACCUUCUCAGCUGUGGAGUACACACUCUCGCGCUUGCCCACGUCACACGCGUAUGUGUACACCUGGGGCUGGAAUGGGGGCACUUCUUCAACACCGCCUAAAGUAGUCGCUGUAGAAAAGUUGCACAUACGUUUUUGUGGCAGGAUUGGUAAAUUAGUCCUUUUAGCGUUUCUUAAAUUUCCAGUGCAUGAACAUUAUAUAGCAAGUAAAUGCAAAAUGUACUAUUUUAAUUGCGGGAUAUAGUAUAGUAUUUUUGUGGCUCAAAAUAUAGCAAUUUAUUGGACAAUUGUUUUACUUGAAUUAAUUAUAGUGUGGGCAUGCCAUCUAGUGUGGAGGUGUACAAUUAGAAUUGUUUGGCCUUCAACUUGAAUCUGCACGUCGCAACAUACAGUUGUAGGCGUCGUACGCAAUUCACAGAAUAUAUCAUCAAAGUAGUGGAAUGUCAGGCGAGUUAAGAUUACACAACGCAUUUCAGCGUGCAAUGCAUGGAAUACACGUUUUCCAGCGCAAAUGCAGAAGAGAAUGCGAAGGUCACGUGACUUAACACCAUUUCUCAUUUCUGCUAAGAAUAAAUCAAAUACAUUAUGUAUCAAAUAAAUACCGGCAUUAAAAUAACGCCACGCUACCCACCAUCUUUGGAGGUCGGCGUGUCUACUUCGUGGUAAAUCUGCCGCACAAUCUCUGCCGUCUCUUCGUUGCUUUGGCUGUUAAUGUCCCACAGCACCAGGAUGGCUCUCCGCCGGGCGAACUCCUUGGCGAAGAGC
Long non-coding RNA from Syngnathus typhle (broad-nosed pipefish), 1816 nucleotides. RefSeq lists it as uncharacterized. The record is from RefSeq and is a predicted model, not a curated record. NCBI's taxonomy places the organism in Eukaryota, Metazoa, Chordata, Actinopteri, Syngnathiformes, Syngnathidae. The transcript has 2 exons.